RNAcentral lists this long non-coding RNA (592 nucleotides) under Brassica napus (rape). RNAcentral describes it as "long non-coding RNA (BNAP_LNC015854)". Lineage: Eukaryota; Viridiplantae; Streptophyta; Magnoliopsida; Brassicales; Brassicaceae. The record is from RNAcentral.
CUUUAAAACAAAAGACUUGAGAAAUCAAAAACAGAUCCUUAUUUUACUUACACCCACGGCUUGAUUGUCCCUUUCCUGCCCCUAAAGGAAAAUUAUUACCCACGGCUUAAAAAUGUCUUUUACGACAAGAAGAGACUUUACUACUAACCCACGGCUUGAGAAGGAUCUGUUUUUGAUUAUUUGGAUGGAAUGGAUUAUAACGACCAAAAAGUCUUUAAAACAAAAGACUUGAGAAAUCAAAAACAGAUCCUUAUUUUACUUACACCCACGGCUUGAUUGUCCCUUUCCUGCCCCUAAAGGAAAAUUAUUACCCACGGCUUAAAAAUGUCUUUUACGACAAGAAGAGACUUUACUACUAACCCACGGCUUGAGAAGGAUCUGUUUUUGAUUAUUUGGAUGGAAUGGAUUAUAACGACCAAAAAGUCUUUAAGACAAAAGACUUGAGAAAUCAAAAACAGAUCCUUAUUUUACUUACACCCACGGCUUAAAAGUCUUUACUACCCACGGCUUACAAGUCUAUAGACAAAGACUUCAUAUCAAAAACAACAGAUCCUUAUUUCACUACCCACGGCUUACACAUAUGUCUUUAGAC